GCUGCGAUGGCCGAGUGGUUAAGGCGUUGGACUCGAAAUCCAAUGGGAUAUUCCCGCGCAGGUUCGAAUUCUGUUCGCAGCG
Ciona savignyi (Pacific transparent sea squirt) is the source of this 82-nucleotide non-coding RNA. The record is from Rfam. NCBI's taxonomy places the organism in Eukaryota, Metazoa, Chordata, Ascidiacea, Phlebobranchia, Cionidae.